AAGAGGUUCAAUUGACUAUUGCAGACCCAGAAUCAAGCAAUGCAGGACUCUCUGUUUCGCUAAUGGAUAUGAGCUCUUCAUCUCCCUGGAACCUACCUUUUAAUGUGGGAUUAGCAAGAGAUCCAGUUUUAUUUUUCUCCAUGUUGUGAGCCAGUUUUCCAACACUGUCAAGAUUCUGAGACAAGGAUGUUAAAGUAUUCAACUACAAUUGUUUCCCGAUCAGGGAUGGAACCCGUGGCCCCUGCAAUGGAAGCACAGAGUCCUAACCACUGGACUGCCAGGGAAUUCCAUUAGGAACCAUGAUAUCCAUGUGUAUCCAAAGGCUGGUUUUGGAUCAAAGCAAGUGGGCAGCUGACCAUCUGAGUUCAAGUUACCCUGUGGAAGCAUCAGAUUUUACGGUAUGAUGGGAAAUUAUUUUUGUUCUUCAGUGUCACAAGAGUAAUGAUACUCAUUUGCAUAUCCCAGUGGAACACAAAGGGAGAAAUGUAGCCCUGAUGUGUCCUUUCUGGAAAACAUUCCCCAGAU
Long non-coding RNA from Hippopotamus amphibius kiboko, 525 nucleotides. RefSeq lists it as uncharacterized. The transcript is spliced from 5 exons. The record is from RefSeq and is a predicted model, not a curated record. NCBI's taxonomy places the organism in Eukaryota, Metazoa, Chordata, Mammalia, Artiodactyla, Hippopotamidae.